UCCCUCUCUCUUUCCCAUCUCUCUCUCUCUCUCUGUCUCUCUCUGCCUCUCGCUCUCUAGCUGUAAGUUCAUUCGCUGUGGCGAGCAACAACUGUGCAAAGAGGAGGUUUGAUCCUGUUGUUGAGCAUCAUCCCUCCCUGAGAUGCUGCUGCUGCUGAUGCUGCUGCUACUGCAGCCUCAUCCACCUGCACAACUCCAUGGCUGGCUGGCUGGCUGGCUGGCUGACUGACUGGCUGACACGUUAGGCGCUACUGCUACACGCUGGGACUGCGAGGGGGCUGCCUGCGCAUGGGGAACACCUGCCUGUGAACAAACGCUGCUGGUCGAUGCGCAGGCUGCUAACCCCAUUGCAAUCCCCCGCUCUCCACUGUGGACAACACAAAAACAAGGUGAUAUACCUUACAAUCACGGCAUGUCUUCUCUGAGGCAGGGGAUCAGACACCAGCCUGGCUAGUAGCUCUGUGGAAGGCUGUGCCUGGACCAACACUCACAGGGAGGUUUCAUUAUGUGUGGAUAUGCUGGUGUGGGGUGAGAGCAAAAGAGAGAGAGAGCAGGACAGGGCUAAAAUGGGCAUCUCUUCCUCCUUAUGGAUCGCUCCUGGAGGACAGGACCACCAGCACUUCCAAGGAGGGCAGGGCUUCAGACCACCUCUGGCCCAGAAAAACCUUUGAAUGGGCCUUGUGUUGUGCUUCAAGGCGUCUUCAAUCAAUGAUGUUGAUACAGCGUCUUUCUCUGUGUUGCUUGCCAUUGGGAUCGACUGAGGAAUUUGAUGAUGCGGUCACGCUUGCUUGCGAUUCCCAUUAUUGCCUCUCUGUGUUUAAGAUUCUCUUCGGUGACGGGUAUUCUUGGGUGUAUAAUACGGAUCACGUUGUUAUUGCUUAAGAAUACGCGUAGUCGAGGAGAGUCCUCUUCUUCUUCUUCGUCUGUCUUCGUCUGCAGCUGAGGACUAUUGAUCAGAUCGAAGCAGCUCAAAGUGCACCCUUACCUGUUUCCUUUUAAUACUGAGGAGUUGGCACACCGAAACACAAACCGUAGAGACUGACUGACAUCCAGGCCCAUUUAUCAAGCAAGGAGACAGAGCACUGCCGGCUGCCUAUCUGUUUCAGUGAUGAUUGUGCUGUCCAGUCUUGAGAUAGUGUCGACCAACCACUCUCGUCUGCAGUUUUUUUUUAUAUUUAACCGCCCCCCUCCCCACCCUUUUUCAUAAUUGUUUAUACUGUGUUGUUGUCGUUUUGUCACAAAUGUUUCAGAUGUCACAUGUUUAUUUGACCAUUAUCAUGUCCAGUAUAUGAAAGUGUAUUUGCAUAUAUUCAUGCUGCAUUAUGUAUUUGUGUUGUGUGGUAGAUAUGCUACAGUGAGUGUGUAUUUCAUAGGCUUCUGAUACAACCGGAUAGUGUUGUUGUGCAGUUAUAGCAGAGGUUAGACUGCAUGGCCCUGGUCCUCUCUCAUGCAAAUCUCUCGAGUCUAUUUAUUAUCAGUCGUCCAGACCAAGCACUCUUUUCCUCCUUCUCCUUUUUUUAUGCAAAUUGAUUUUGAAAUGACAUUUAUCGCGUUGGGUUUUCCACACGAAAGAGCUGCCACACCGGAGCCCAGACAACAAAAUGUCCACCGCUCUAGCGAGAGCUCAAUUUAUGCAUUGGAGGAGAGUGGGUCUCGAUAACAAUUACCACAGGCUCAAAUAGACCAUAACUGGGUUUUCCAUGUUAUCAUAUGUAUGUUAUAUGCCAUGAAUAUGUAUCAGUCAGUCCCCCUGGUCGGAUGCAGGGUGCAUUCUGAACCCUAACACCCAUGUAAAAUCCAUUUAAACACCAUUAUAGAAACUACUUAACUUAUAGAGCCUCACUCAAGAUUCCCCUCCAGAAUUUUUUUUUCAUGUCUAUUAAAUGUCAUAAAAAAAUAAAUGUAUGGUAUUUAAUAUUCAAAAGGUUUUAGUUUUUUUUUUUUUACAAGCAUUCUUUGUCUUUUAAGAAUAAUGAAAAAAUCAACAGCUAAACAACUGGUCUAUCAUACAAAUUAAUUAAACUAGCUGUACUAAUACCAUUUCAAAUAUUUAAAUGAAUACAAUUAUAUGUUAACUGCUUGGCUCGCUUGAUAAGAAAGAAACACCAGAAGCUUGGUUGACCCCAUAUUUCACCACUAUGGAAACUACAUAUCUGAUAAAGAUCAUAUCAGAAUGUACUUUGGAUAUCACCUUCUGUAUUGGAUCUAAAUUAUUUCCGA
Molecule: long non-coding RNA, 2220 nt
Organism: Oncorhynchus keta (chum salmon)
Lineage: Eukaryota; Metazoa; Chordata; Actinopteri; Salmoniformes; Salmonidae
Exons: 3
Source: RefSeq, a predicted model, not a curated record